This 281-nucleotide ribosomal RNA is filed under the name unidentified marine bacterioplankton. RNAcentral describes it as "partial 16S ribosomal RNA". It matches the Rfam family "Bacterial small subunit ribosomal RNA", at positions 56 to 339 of the family's 1533-position model. The record is from RNAcentral.
UGCAAGUCGAGGGGUAGAGUUUCUUCGGAAACUUGAGACCGGCGCACGGGUGCAUAACGCGUAUGCAAUCUACCCUUUACUGGGGAAUAGCCCGGAGAAAUUCGGAUUAAUGCCCCAUAUGCCCACGGAAUCGCAUGGUUCAGUGGGGAAAGUUCCGACGGUAAAGGAUGAGCAUGCGUCCCAUUAGCUAGUUGGUGAGGUAACGGCUCACCAAGGCAACGAUGGGUAGGGUCCUGAGAGGGAGAUCCCCCACACUGGUACUGAGACACGGACCAGACUCC